This 460-nucleotide ribosomal RNA is filed under the name uncultured bacterium. RNAcentral's name for it is "partial 16S ribosomal RNA". It matches the Rfam family "Bacterial small subunit ribosomal RNA", at positions 338 to 795 of the family's 1533-position model. The record is from RNAcentral.
CCUACGGGUGGCAGCAGUGAGGAAUAUUGGUCAAUGGACGCAAGUCUGAACCAGCCACGCCGCGUGCAUGAAGACGGCUCUCUGAGUUGUAAACUGCUUUUGCACGAGGGUAAACGCAGAUACGCGUAUCUGUCUGCAAGUAUCGUACGAAUCCGGAUCGCCUAACUCCGUGCCAGCAGCCGCGGUAAUACGGAGGAUUCAAGCGUUAUCCGGAGUUAUUGGGUGUAAAGGGUGCGUAGGCGGUCGAAUAAGUUAGAGGUGAAAUCCCGGGGCUCAACUUCGGAAUUGCCUCUGAUACUGUGCGGCUAGAGAGUAGUUGCGGUAGGCGGAAUGUAUGGUGUAGCGGUGAAAUGCUUAGAGAUCAUGCAGAACACCGAUUGCGAAGGCAGCUUACCAAGCUACUUCUGACGUUGAGGCACGAAAGCGUGGGGAGCAAACAGGAUUAGAUACCCCUGUAGUC